RNAcentral lists this ribosomal RNA (301 nucleotides) under uncultured bacterium. RNAcentral describes it as "partial 16S ribosomal RNA". It matches the Rfam family "Archaeal small subunit ribosomal RNA", at positions 459 to 758 of the family's 1478-position model. The record is from RNAcentral.
CAGUCGCCGCGGGAAUACCAGCAGCCCAAGUGGUGGUCGCGAUUAUUGGGCCUAAAGCGCUCGAGGCCGGGCCGGUAAGUCCCUUGUGAAAUCGGACGGCCUAACCGUUCGGCGUGCAAGGGAUACUGUCGGUCUUGAGGCCGGGAGACGUCCGAGGUACUCCGGGGGUAGCGGUGAAAUGUUCUGAUCCUCGGGGGACCACCGGUGGCGAAGGCGUUCGACGAGAACGGGCCUGACGGUGAGGGGCGAAGGCUAGGGGAGCAAACGGGAUUAGAGACCCCCGUAGUCCCUGUCUCUUAUC